Molecule: RNA transcript, 7203 nt
Organism: Aethalodelphis obliquidens (Pacific white-sided dolphin)
Lineage: Eukaryota; Metazoa; Chordata; Mammalia; Artiodactyla; Delphinidae
Exons: 2
Source: RefSeq, a predicted model, not a curated record
UUCAUUAUUUUCUUUUGAUUGAAAUGACACUAUAUAAAAUUUUCAUUUGAGAGUUUCUCAGUUGUAUUUAGUUACAUAGCACAGUUUAGAAACUUGUCUGAGACUGACCUUAUCAGUAAUCUAACCGGCAAAGAUCAUAUCCGUGUGUAUGUGGUUAUACAUUUUUAUUUCAUUGGACUAACCCAGGACCAUUUCAGUGAUGAAAAUUGUGUGCCCUCUGGUUUAGCUGAAACAGUCCUGCACUUCUCAGAAACCUUGAAGUCUCCCAUAGUUGUAUAAAUUGGACAAUUUAGGAAUUUUAAACUUUAAAUGAUCAUUUGGUUCCUUUUCUAUUUUAUUUUUGUUAAUGCAACAGGACUUAAAUGAACUUUGAUCUUUGUUUUAAAGAUUAAAAAAAUUGUGUGUGUAUAUAUAUAUAUAUGAAUGUGUAUAUAUAUAUAUACAUACAUAUAUAUAUAUAUAUAUAUAUAUAUGACUCUUGAAGACACAUAGCUUUCACUACACUACAGGAUAUGAUCUCCAUGUAGCACAUCUACAACUGCAAAUUGAUUUUCCUUGAGUGCUUUAUACUGUUGAUUACAUCUCCAUGUAGGGCUGAAAAGAAUGACCCAUGUUUAUCUCUAUAACUGUGUUGCUUUUGAUGUCGUGUUGCUGUGCACAGAAAUGUGUGCGGCGAGGUCCUGCAUAUGGUCCAGAUGAAAAGCACGGUAGCCUUGCGAGUUAAGUACUGCUUCGAUUCAUUGUUUACGCUGGAAUUUUUUCUCCCCAUGGAAUGUAAGUAAAACUUAGUGUUUGUCACCAAUAAAUAGUAAUACUAAAUUUUUUUUGUUAAUUUAUUCUUAAAUGCCACUACUGCUAGGUUGGUCCCUCCCAACCUGCCCCCUAUACUUUUUUUAUUUUUAAGAAAAAAACUUUGUAAUGCUUGUGAUUCCAUUUGGGCAAAAUUCUGAAGCUCUGAAAUAACUUUAUAUCAAACCAUUGAUCAAUAAACAGCUACUAAUGAAUUUUUGGUCCUGUCGAGCAGUAACUGAAGCAGUAAGGGAAGAUGUGAGGGCAUGGAAGCAUGGCGUGGGGGGCACUGCUGCCAGUGAGGGGCAAGUGGGUGCCCGGGUGAAGGGAGGCGCCUCUCAUCUGAACCAGACGAUGUCACCCAAAGAAAUGACCGAGAGGAGAGAGGCUUCCUGGUCACUUCCCUCAGGCGGGCUCGCGCUUGGAAGAGUGAAGGUGAGGCGUUGCAUUCUAGUCUGGCUGAGGAGUGGGGCUGGUAGUUUUCUAUUUUUUCAUUUUAGAAUAUGCUCAUAAAGGUGGUUCACUAUAAAACCAGCCUGUGGACUGGACUGCAAGAAGCACCGGAAGUGAGGUUAUGGAAAAAUGCUACAGGGUAUGAGGGGACUCAGCAGGGCAGGGAUAAAAGCAGUGAAAGGAAAGGCAUUUUUUCCCUUUCCAAUCCUGGAUUCAGCAUUUCUGCAAGAAGCCUUGAUCCUCUUUAGUGAUAGAUGACAUUUAGCAACCAAGGUCUGGGUGCUCUGAGACCUCACUGCUAGGGAUGUGUUGUGUCUGGGCCCUCUUAGUGGACAGCUAGGAAGUGUAUCUGUGUGUACGUAUACACAUCUGCCGAUUUGUAUAUCUACUUAAAAGCCAUGUGUUGGUCCUGAUACCUCUGGCACCUCAGGGUUCUUCACAGCCUUCCCUGCUGUGUUUUUAGCACCUUUUCCCACAUCGAGAUUGUAGCCAGUGUCCCAGCCUUGCCAGCCACUCCCUCCACUCCUGCCCUGAGAUCUUGCUGCCUCUGCCCAGCUCUCGCCUCCUUGCCUCACAGUGUUUCCAACCGGUGACCCUCCACACUGUGAAGGGAAGAUGGAAAGGGCUGGACAGUACAGUCUUAGAAGUAAUUCAUGACUUCUAAUUGGCAGUCCAGUUGGCCCUCAUUGACAGCACUCCAAGAAGGGGAAGUUUCCUCUUAAUAUCUGGGAUAUUGUUAGGAAGGAUCUACAGGUUUCUUUGACAGAUUUUUUUGAAGGUGUAUUUUGGUUGCUUUGGAAAGCUGUCCAGAUGGGAUGUCCUUGACUAUUCUUACAUUGUAAACUCUCAAACUAGUCUUGCCUCUGUGAAUGCCCUGUAGCUGUCAUCGCCUGCUGAGGACUCACUCACCUGCAGUAUCUCUGUCUCAACAGGCUUUGAGAGAGCUGCCUGGGAAUCGAGUUUGCACUAAGUUUUAUCCCAACAUGAUCUCUAAGAGUUGCAAGAACUUUGGCUCAAAACUAGCCCUUGGGACAACAUGCAGUCCUGGUUUCCAGACUACAGGCAGAAAAGCAGACAUGAAGGCACCUGAGAGGCAGGUCUGAAAAAAUCAGAGCUGCGAGUCAGCCACAGUAAGACUAGUGGGUCUUAGGAUUUGAGGAGCAUCGAUCUGCAAAGGUGGAGCAGCUCCUGUUGUCUUUGGGGAAGACAGACUUAGGAUUCAGUCACCCCACAACAGGUGCACUGACAUUAGGUCAAUUUCGUUAAGUUCCUCUUAUCACAGGGAGAUAUUAAUGAGUAAGGAUGAUUUCCCCAUAGCAGGGUUUUGUUCUGGUUUGUAUUUUUAAAGGCCUUCUUGAGCUGAGCAAUGUGAACUGUAGCUCUUAAAAAAAGUGUCAUUUCUGAAUCUAGGUUUUGUUCCAUAGCUCACUGAGCUAAUGUGCCCAGCUUUGCAGGGUGAAUGCCCAGUGACGGAGACCUUGGCCUGGGUCCCAAGGUCUGAGUCUGGGGUUCUUGUGACCCAUGGGAAAAGACACCCGGCCAUUCCCAAGAAGCAGUAUGCUGCUGCUUGCUCUCUAGAAGCUAACAGGAGCUCAGCAGACUACAACCACCAGGAAAUAAACCUGAGGAUGGAGAUGUGUAGCUGUUUGUUUGUAUGAAACUUAACUUCAGAAACUUCCGACAUUAUCAUCUCUGGUUUAAGUGCUUAAACAUCUGUGUGCCCUUAAAAACAGACAAGAAAAACUUUCUAAAUCCAUAAAUAAUGGAUUGUUGAGCACUUAAGCACUGCUGGAUUGGCAGGGAGGAGUUAACCAAUUUUCUGAAAUAGGCUUUUAAAGAGAUGUGUGUGAAGAUGCAAGGCUAACUGAGACUGGAGAGGGUGUGGUUUCUAGUCAUCAAAGCAGCAGAGCUGUUUUCUUGGUAUUUGGCACUGUGUGCUUGCAGUGGUGUGUUUAAUGUAUAUAUACAAUGUAUAUAUAGAAUAUACAUAUGAAACUGUAAUUUUUACAACUCCAUAUUCUAAUCAGACUUCUUGGCAUACCAAUUUUUAUUAGGAAAAAUUAUACGUAAUUUGGGAAAUUGGUACUACUUUGCUUAAUAUGUGCUUAAUAACUUGUUUGAUAUUUUAAAAGUAAUUUCCUUUGUACAUUCUUUUACAAAUAUUUUCAUCAAAACCUACUUUGUUGGAAGUAGGCCUGUGAUGACAAAUUAUAAAGCAGUCUUUGUGUAUUGGUAAUUUUAAAAAGGACCUUUGAAAGUAAACUGUGAAAAAUUUGUAAGUUAUCCCUAAAAGCCCUCUAUCCAAACACAAACCCUAUCGUUUAUUUCCACCCCCUUUCACACGCACUUCUUUCAUGAUUGUGUCUGCAGUGCACAUGCAGUGGUGCCACCCAUUGUAAAGCUGAACAACCUGGAGCUCGGUGGUCCCAGAGAGGAUCAGGUAUGCCUGUCCCCUGCUGCCCUCCUACAGAGCCAGCUGGAUCCAGCCUUCAGCUCACUGUGGCUGUCCUCACUUCUUUAGGCUGCAGUAGAAGCAGUGACAGGGGUGUCUCUCUCUGACCUCUGACAUUGCUGAGCCUGGAUUCAGUAGUGGGCAGUUGGUGCCACUUUGGAGUGAGAUCUAACAGAAUCCUGUGCCGCUUCCUCAGACUCUUCUUGCCUGCCUUUUUAAUCGUGUAUUGGCUCCAGCUGCCAAAAGCCUGCCCCAGGAAAUGGCCUGAGAUUCCCUUGGGCCUGUGUUUUACUGUGUAAAUAUCGCCACCUCCCCACAGGUAACAUUUUCCCAAGGCCCCGAGCGAGGAGCAGCCUGGUGGACGGUGGAUUGGGUGUGGAUAAGGCUUCCGUGCUGUGAAGAGCGCCUGUAAAUAGAUCACCUCACGAAGGGCCAAGAUGCUGUAAUGUAGGUGGGUGAAUACCAACAUGUAAGUAGCGGCUCAGAGACUGCAGUGCGGUCACUGCAGAAGUCAGUACCUUCUGUUGUUCUUGGAGCCCAGAGACAGACUCUGAAGCCGCUUGCUCCCAGGCAGUUUCUAGAGUCCCACUGCUCAGGGUGGCUGAUGGAGAGGCAUUGGCCCAAUUCCUUGCUGGAGGCGUCUGGAGCCCUCCUCUCCCCCAUUCUGUCCUCCUGUCCAGCUGGCAGGGCUCUUCUCCCUGGGCUGCAGACCGUAGUCCACUUCCAGGUUUCUCCCAAGAAAACGUGGAGACAGAUGCCAUGACAACAGGAGUUCAGGUCCGUCUCAGCUACGGCUGGAGGGAGUGGUUGAGUUCUGGAAGAGGCCCACGAAGGCUGUGGCUCCUCUGGGCCCUAAGCUGCCACAGCCGUCUUCCGCCUGCCACCCUUUGUUAAUUUCCUAUCUUUACAAUAUGAUCCCUUCUGACUUCUGAGGCCAUGGAACCUUGGACUCUAACAGUGUUCACAGCUUGUGCCGCGCCUGCGUGUCUUUCUGAUUCGGUUUUUCUUGGCUUCUUCAUGAGCAUCAGCUCACUGGGAGGGCUGUUGGUUAAAAAGGCUGCUGGGUCCCUUUCCCAGAUGUGCUGAUGCCGUAGGUCUGGGGUCAAGAACGUGCAUUUCUAAUAAAGUCCCAGGUGAUGUAGAUGUACUUUGAGAACAACUGUCCUCAAGCAGUAACACCCAUGAAGUUGCUAGUGACUUUUUUUCUAAUACAAAACAUACAACUGUAAAUGAUACAUGCUCUUUGGAUGGUAGCCCCAAAUCCUUCGAAUCAUGUUGAGAAAUGCUGCCUUUGGCUAAACAGAGGGCAGGCAGCUUUGGCCUCACUGUUUUAGGCUCUGCACUGUGCUGUCCCAGCCCAGAGGCAGUCUGUCCUGGGGACUGAAGGCAGUGUCCUCAACAGCCUGUUAGGAGGAUGGGGGUUUGGAAUGCUCAACCUGCAGCCGCUGGCUUAGCUCGUUGCCGCCACCCUGGUUCUCCUUGGGAAGGUUUCUCUGCAGGCACCAUCGCAGAGACUUCUUCCAGCCUGAGAUCUACAGUCACGACGGAGGCAGCCCUCUGCGUGGGGCUGGCUCCAGCUCAACUUUGGCUCUCAGGAGUGGGACUGUAUGGCCUGCCUAGGACACUAAGCCCUGCUCUGUCUGAGAGUGGCAGGACCUGGUGGGUGCUAGGUUCCUCCCCACUGCCCUGCGGACCCACGAGGAGACAGUUUAGGAUCUGUCUUCGCAGCUGACGUCUGCUGAGAAAUCCAGUUUCCUGAGAGUAGCAUUUCCCUCUCUAGACUCAGGAGGAUUGACCCUUAACUGCUUGCCAAGGAGAUGGACCAUCUUUCCGACGUAAGGUAAACAAACUCUCAUUUUGCUUUCCACUCCUCCGCCGGUCAUCCUCCUUUUGCAUCAGGUCUGAGAAACUUCCCCCUGACCUGUCUGCGGUGGCUCUUCCUUCCACGUUGUCAAGUUUUUCUCUCACAUCAUCCAUAUUGUAAGGGAGAAAGUUGACUUCUCCAACCACAUGUGAGCUUUUGAAAAAGUCUUUAUUACCUGUCAUGCAGGAACCCCAGAGAAAGGUUGGUGGAUGAUGGUGGCUCUUCAUAGUGUUUACCUCACAGUCACGCCCUUAUUAACUGAUUACCUGUUUCUAACUUUUGCAAAGCCAUGGUAUAGUGGCCAAGUCCUGUGCUCCGGACGCCAUCCAUGUUGCCUGGGUUUGAAUCCCAGGUCCACCCAGCUGUGCAAGCUGGUAAUUUCCUCCACCUCUCAGGAGAGAAGGAUUUGGACCUGUCGCAUUCUCAGACCGAAGACUCACAUCUGGUUCUCAAGGUUCCAUGAAACACUGGAAGAGGGAGGCUCAGCUGGGAGUCCUAGCAAUUAACCUAAAGAAGCUGCAUGGCCCACGAGAGCCAGUGAGCUGUAAAAAGAACAUCUCAGAGAAGAGUGGAAGGGUUCCCAUGUAACACUCAGAAUGAAGAAAGCUAAUGAAAACCAGUCAGGAUCCGAAUGUAUCACAAGAUAAAAUGGGGCAUGGUUUGCUCUGAGCAACUGACAGAAUAUGAGGGCAAAGCCCAAUCCAUUUGACCUUGACUCUAAGAACAUUCUCUUUUGAUGGAUGCAAGAGUCAAACCUUGAGAGGAAGAAAUAUAAUCUCUACACACUGCCCAGCUCCAGCUCUGAAUACUAUUCACACCAUUGUAACAGUUCACAUACUGUAUCUGUUCUCACCUUUUAAAAGAUACCUACAGAUGAAGCACACAAAAGGACUACUGCACAGGAUGAAAAGCCAUCUGCUGUGACAGCGUGAAAAUGAAGGCAGAGGUGGACGGUGGGAGACGUCCUGUUAUCAGUACAGAGGACCCGACACGAGGGCCACAGUUGAUGGGACUACAGUUAGGGUUAUUAUUAAAGAUGAAGAGAACUGUAAAAGGUAGGCUGCAAGUAAGCGGUGUGAGCCAAGUUCUGAUUUGUCAUAGCAGGGAGUUAUGAAGUCUUACGGUUGAUGUAUCAAGAAGAUGAAGAAUUAAGUGGUAAAGAAUGAAGAUUAUAGGCAGUACUAGUUGAAAGGUGUUGCCUCUGGGAGGGCAGAGACUUGUUGCUCAGAUACAAGCCCUAUUUACUAAUUAAUUAGACUUUUACCACACGCAGCUAAUAGUCUGACUGAAUGCCACAUUCAUUAUGCCCCACAAAUAAAUGAAAUAACUAAGUAAGGCCCAGUGUGGGUAGGGAUGUGCUACAGAAAUUGGCACAACCUGGCCCAAUAAUUCCACCUUCAGGAAACAGACGUAGACAAAUAUUGGCAUAUAUAGGAUGUCCACCUCAAGAAUUAUUUAUAAAAUAAAAAAUCUCUACGUGUCCAACAGUGACUGUAUAACUUGGUAGUGGUAUAUCCAAAUGAUAAACACCAUACAUAACCACUGAAAAAUAUAGUUGCCGGCUUCCCUGGUGGUGCAGUGGUUGGGAGUCCGCCUGCCGAUGCAUGGGACACGGGCUUAUGCCCCGGUCCGGGAGGGUCCCACA